GAUGAACGCUGGCGGCGUGCCUAAUACAUGCAAGUCGAGCGAACGGACGAGAAGCUUGCUUCUCUGAUGUUAACGGCGGACGGGUGAGUAACACGUGGAUAACCUACCUAUAAGACUGGGAUAACUUCGUGAAACCGGAGCUAAUACCGGAUAAUAUUUUGAACCGCAUGGUUCAAAAGCGAAAGACGGUCUUGCUGUCACUUAUAGAUGGAUCCGCGCUGCAUUAGCUAGUUGGUAAGGUAACGGCUUACCAAGGCAACGAUGCAUAGCCGACCUGAGAGGGUGUUCGGCCACACUGGAACUGAGACACGGUCCAGACUCCUACGGGAGGCAGCAGUAGGGAAGCUUCCGCAAUGGGCGAAAGCCUGACGGAGCAACGCCGCGUGAGUGAUGAAGGUCUUCGGAUCGUAAAACUCUGUUAUUAGGGAAGAACAUAUGUGUAAGUAACUGUGCACAUCUUGACGGUACCUAAUCAGAAAGCCACGGCUAACUACGUG
RNAcentral lists this ribosomal RNA (497 nucleotides) under uncultured bacterium. Its description in RNAcentral is "partial 16S ribosomal RNA". It matches the Rfam family "Bacterial small subunit ribosomal RNA", at positions 28 to 507 of the family's 1533-position model. The record is from RNAcentral.